This 258-nucleotide ribosomal RNA is filed under the name uncultured bacterium. RNAcentral's name for it is "partial small subunit ribosomal RNA". It matches the Rfam family "Bacterial small subunit ribosomal RNA", at positions 26 to 285 of the family's 1533-position model. The record is from RNAcentral.
AGGACGAACGCUGGCGGCGUGCUUAACACAUGCAAGUCGAACGGUGAACCUGGCUUCGGCCAGGGGAUCAGUGGCGAACGGGUGAGUAACACGUGAGCAACCUGCCCCUAGCUCUGGGAUGACCCCGGGAAACCGGAGCUAAUACCGGAUACGAGACCGAAUUGCAUGACUCGGUCUGGAAAGUUUUUCGGCUAGGGAUGGGCUCGCGGCCUAUCAGCUUGUUGGUGGGGUAACGGCCUACCAAGGCGACGACGGGUA